ACAUAUUUUAGUGUCAUAUUCAAAUAAGAAAUUAUUUUUUUACUUUUAAAUCUAAAAAUAUAGUUUUUAUAUACAUUUAUUAAUUUUAAGUUUAACUAAAUUUAUACCCGUGAUUAACUUUUAUAUAAGCUGCACCUUGAUCUAAUUAUUUAAUAAUUUAACUAGUGAAAAAUUAUUUUUAAAUAAUCUCUGUAAAUGACGGUAUACAAACUAAAAAUAAUAAAAGAAAAACUAAAACGUGAAGUAUCAUUUAUAUCAUAGGUUUCUCUAAUAGAAAAUAAAAUACCGUCAAAUUUUUUAAGUUUCA
Molecule: ribosomal RNA, 307 nt
Filed under: Parabathynellidae sp. (Pilbara) 12 EM-2019
Lineage: Eukaryota; Metazoa; Arthropoda; Malacostraca; Bathynellacea; Parabathynellidae
Description: partial small subunit ribosomal RNA
Source: RNAcentral